AUGGUGCUGCUGGUUCCACCAAUAAAGGAGGGACGAAAGGCUAUGGAGCCACAGCUGGUGUAAUCAAUGGACAAGGUGGCAAACCACAGGGCUACGGAGCACAAGCUGGAGGAUAUGAUGGACAAGGAACUAAAGGCAAUGGU
Micropterus salmoides (largemouth bass) is the source of this 143-nucleotide long non-coding RNA. RefSeq lists it as uncharacterized. The record is from RefSeq and is a predicted model, not a curated record. Lineage: Eukaryota; Metazoa; Chordata; Actinopteri; Centrarchiformes; Centrarchidae. The transcript is spliced from 3 exons.